GUCUUUUUGAUAAUAAUUUAAAGUCGAAUUUGCCCCCUGAUUUUAUUAAAGGGCUGCAGUAAAUUGACUGUACAAAGGUAGCAUAAUCAUUAGUCUUUUAAUUGAAGACUUGUAUGAAAGAUUUGAUGAAAUAUAAACUGUCUCUUUAUUAUAAAUAGAAAUUAAUUUUUUAGUCAAAAAGCUAAAAUUUUUUUAAAAGACGAGAAGACCCUAUAGAGUUUUAUAAUUUAUUUAAUUGAAAAUUAUUAUUAAUAUUAUAUAAAAAUUAAAUUAAUUAUUUUAUUGGGGUGAUAAGAAAAUUAAAUUAACUUUUUUUUAAAUAAAUUCAUAAAUUAAUGAGUAGAUGAUCCAUAUAAUUAUGAUUAUAAGAAAAAAUUACCUUAGGGAUAACAGCGUAAUUUUUUUUUUUAGUUCAAAUAAAAAAAAAAGUUUGCGACCUCGAUGUUGGAUUAAGAUAUAAUUUAAAUGUAGAAGUUUAAAAUUUUGAUCUGUUCGAUCAUUAAAAUCUUACA
RNAcentral lists this ribosomal RNA (512 nucleotides) under Aeromachus stigmata. Its description in RNAcentral is "partial 16S ribosomal RNA". The stretch from base 386 to 512 matches the Rfam family "Bacterial large subunit ribosomal RNA", at positions 2473 to 2600 of the family's 2925-position model. The record is from RNAcentral. Lineage: Eukaryota; Metazoa; Arthropoda; Insecta; Lepidoptera; Hesperiidae.